AUUGAACGCUGGCGGCAGGCCUAACACAUGCAAGUCGAACGGGAACAGGAAGAAGCUUGCUUCUUUGCUGACGAGUGGCGGACGGGUGAGUAAUGUCUGGGAAACUGCCUGAUGGAGGGGGAUAACUACUGGAAACGGUAGCUAAUACCGCAUAACGUCGCAAGACCAAAGAGGGGGACCUUCGGGCCCCUUGCCAUCGGAUGUGCCCAGAUGGGAUUAGCUAGUAGGUGGGGUAACGGCUCACCUAGGCGACGAUCCCUAGCUGGUCUGAGAGGAUGACCAGCCACACUGGAACUGAGACACGGUCCAGACUCCUACGGGAGGCAGCAGUGGGGAAUAUUGCACAAUGGGCGCAAGCCUGAUGCAGCCAUGCCGCGUGUAUGAAGAAGGCCUUCGGGUUGUAAAGUACUUUCAGCGGGGAGGAAGGGAGUAAAGUUAAUACCUUUGCUCAUUGACGUUACCCGCAGAAGAAGCACCGGCUAACUCCGUG
RNAcentral lists this ribosomal RNA (490 nucleotides) under uncultured bacterium. Its description in RNAcentral is "partial 16S ribosomal RNA". It matches the Rfam family "Bacterial small subunit ribosomal RNA", at positions 30 to 507 of the family's 1533-position model. The record is from RNAcentral.